Mus pahari (shrew mouse) is the source of this 145-nucleotide small nucleolar RNA. RefSeq annotates it as small nucleolar RNA SNORA48. Lineage: Eukaryota; Metazoa; Chordata; Mammalia; Rodentia; Muridae. The record is from RefSeq and is a predicted model, not a curated record. The transcript has a single exon.
GGCUCCCUGGCAAUGGGCAGAGAGACACCUUGUUGGUGGUGAUGCUCUUAUAUCAGCCAGGAGCAGAACAGACGGCAGUCCUUUGUUUAUCCUAGCUUAAUGUCUGGUUUGGUGGCCAAAGCUGCCUUAUGCCUAGGACUCAUAG